Molecule: ribosomal RNA, 253 nt
Filed under: uncultured bacterium
Lineage: Bacteria
Description: partial 16S ribosomal RNA
Rfam family: Bacterial small subunit ribosomal RNA
Source: RNAcentral
GACAGAGGGGGCGAGCGUUGUCCGGAGUGACUGGGCGUACAGUGCGCGCAGGCGGGCCGUGACGUGCCUUGUGACAGCGCCCCGCUUAACGGGGCGAGGCCACGGUAGACGCACGACCUAGAGGCAGGGAGAGGGCAGUGGAAUACCCGGUGGAGCGGUGAAAUGCGUAGAGAUCGGGUGGAACACCAGGGGCGAAGGCGACUGCCUGGCCCUGGCCUGACGCUGAGGCGCGAGAGCGUGGGGAGCAAACGGG